Molecule: long non-coding RNA, 383 nt
Organism: Scylla paramamosain (green mud crab)
Lineage: Eukaryota; Metazoa; Arthropoda; Malacostraca; Decapoda; Portunidae
Exons: 3
Source: RefSeq, a predicted model, not a curated record
UAUCAGAUUCAGUAUUUUCUCCAUCUUAUGGCAGCAUAUAUUUUCAACACAGAGUGAGGGCAGUGUCAUUCCUCCUGUCCACUACCCCAACUUCUACUCCCAACACUACCACAACAAUGAGCGGUCUGGUGUGGUGGCUGAGGAUUCUUUUGAAGAGGACAAUGCUUCUGCUUCAUCUGAGCAGCUUGAAGCUGCCUGCAGAAAUAGGCAAAACAGCAACUGACAAAAGAAUAAAGUUGAAGGAAACUGGAGUUUCCCUGCAAAACAAGCUAUCAAGAAGACCAAUACAAUUCAAAGUGUCUGGCUAAGAGUUGGAGAUCUGGCAGAGAAGCUGUGGCCAGAGGAAGGAGGCUUGGCUGCUGCACCAGACCCAUAGACCACAU